CGUUAGCUCAGUUGGUAGAGCAGCUGACUCUUAAUCAGCGGGUCGCAGGUUCGAUCCCUGCACGGC
This 66-nucleotide transfer RNA is filed under the name marine eukaryotic metagenome. It matches the Rfam family "tRNA", at positions 5 to 66 of the family's 71-position model. From Rfam's summary of the family: Transfer RNA (tRNA) molecules are approximately 80 nucleotides in length. Their secondary structure includes four short double-helical elements and three loops (D, anti-codon, and T loops). The record is from RNAcentral.